UACAGAGGUCCCGAGCGUUGUUCGGAUUCACUGGGCGUAAAGGGUGCGCAGGUGGCUUGGCAAGUUUGAUGUGAAAGCUCAGGGCUUAACCCUGAAAUGGCAUUGAAUACUGUUGAGCUGGAGGUUUGGAGGGGGGACUGGAAUUCUUGGUGUAGCAGUGAAAUGCGUAGAUAUCAAGAGGAACACCAGUGGCGAAGGCGAGUCCCUGGACAACACCUGACACUGAGGCACGAAGGCCAGGGGAGCAAACGGG
This 253-nucleotide ribosomal RNA is filed under the name uncultured bacterium. Its description in RNAcentral is "partial 16S ribosomal RNA". It matches the Rfam family "Bacterial small subunit ribosomal RNA", at positions 524 to 776 of the family's 1533-position model. The record is from RNAcentral.